This 253-nucleotide ribosomal RNA is filed under the name uncultured bacterium. RNAcentral's name for it is "partial 16S ribosomal RNA". It matches the Rfam family "Bacterial small subunit ribosomal RNA", at positions 524 to 776 of the family's 1533-position model. The record is from RNAcentral.
UACAGAGGGUGCGAGCGUUAAUCGGAAUUACUGGGCGUAAAGCGUGCGUAGACGGUUAUUUAAGUCGGGUGUGAAAGCCCCGGGCUCAACCUGGGAAUUGCAGUGGAUACUGGCAAGCUAGAGUGCGGUAGAGGAUGGUGGAAUUCCCGGUGUAGCGGUGAAAUGCGUAGAGAUCGGGAGGAACACCCGUGGCGAAGGCGGGUCUCUGGGCCGAUACUGACGCUGAGGAGCGAAAGCGUGGGGAGCGAACAGG